GCCUUCACUUUACCACGGAUAUUCGUAAAUGUAACAGCAAAAUUAAUUAACCUUUGGAACUUUAUAAAUUAUUUAAAAUUCAUUUCAACACCGACUUUGAUUCAAUUUUCAAAAUUUAAAGAGAUUGUGUAAUUCUGAAAUGGGUUUGCUGAAACGUGCCAUGAGGAAGAGUAAACUGAAGCAUUGUCGAUUUUCUGGGUUCCAUACACGGCGGUUCCAUCAACGCCUGAUCCUAAUUUCUUUUUCAUCAAAAAUUGCAAAGCUAACCAAAAAUUCCCACUACUCACCGAUGGCAAGUGUAACAAAAAUCUAUAUUUUCGAAUGAGGUCCAGUUGCGAUGAUCGGUUUGGCAAUUUAAUAAGUCAUUGUUAUCUUUUGUUGUAAUGCCCCGCCAUGUAACCACAACAAAUGUUUAAUGUAAGAGUGUUCAACUAGGCUAA
Molecule: long non-coding RNA, 440 nt
Organism: Drosophila subobscura
Lineage: Eukaryota; Metazoa; Arthropoda; Insecta; Diptera; Drosophilidae
Exons: 2
Source: RefSeq, a predicted model, not a curated record